GUAUUACUCCCUCCGUCCCAUAUUAACUGACUCAAGUUUGCUCAAAUAUGGAUGUAUCUAUGUCUAAAAAGCGUCUAGAUACAUGUAAUAGAAAGUCACUUAAUAUGGGACGGAGGGAGUACUAA
Molecule: non-coding RNA, 125 nt
Organism: Brachypodium distachyon (stiff brome)
Lineage: Eukaryota; Viridiplantae; Streptophyta; Magnoliopsida; Poales; Poaceae
Source: Rfam